RNAcentral lists this ribosomal RNA (1352 nucleotides) under uncultured fungus. Its description in RNAcentral is "eukaryotic LSU rRNA". The stretch from base 644 to 1352 matches the Rfam family "Eukaryotic large subunit ribosomal RNA", at positions 1 to 649 of the family's 3401-position model. Lineage: Eukaryota; Fungi. The record is from RNAcentral.
UCGUAACAAGGUUUCCGUAGGUGAACCUGCGGAAGGAUCAUUAUAGAUUACGAGUUGAUGGCUGAGGGGUAGGACGUUGUGAGCAAAUGCGUAAGCAUUAUGCGUGCAACAUUCUACUUUUCUUUCACAACAAAUAUGUUCGAUGUUGGGAUUGUGGUGGUGUCAUGAUAGUGAUAUUGUGAUACUAUUAUAAUUUGCACACAUUGCUACACUUGCUUAUUCAUGUUUGUCAAAGUAAAACUACCAAUAUAUUAUAACUUUUAACAAUGGAUCUCUUGGCUCUUGCAACGAUGAAGAACGCAGUUAAUUGCGAUAAUUAGUGCGAUUUGCAUGAAUCUGUGAGUCAUCUAGUAUUUGAACGCAACUUGCGCCUGGAGACAGGCAUGACUGUUUGAGAGCGGUUUUAAUCGUGUUGAGGUGAUUGCUCGAGGAGUAUAUCUAGAGCAAUUGCUGACACAAGUUGNCCGUGUUGUAAACUCGGUUUGAAAGUAGCAAGCAAAGGGUAUAGGAUAGAAUGCCAGUGAGCUAGAAGGACGAAGGAUAGUAAUAUCUGGGUCUUUUGUCACUUGGGUUCUUUCCUAGUCCGAUGGAAUGNNGUGGAAGUGNGAUUUCAUCUUCAUCUUCAUCCUCAUCAAACCUCCUACACGCUCAAAUCAGUCAGACUACCCGCUGAACUUAAGCAUAUCAGUAAGCGGAGGAAAAGAAACUAACAAGGAUUCCUUCAGUAACGGCGAGUGAAGUGGGAAGAGCUCAAAGUUAGAAUCGGGAUAGUGUCUAUUUCGAAUUGUAAACUAAAGAAGGAGAUUAGGGGGUUUGGAGAUUGUCCAAGUCCAUUGGAACAUGGCACCAGAGAGGGUGAGAGUCCCGUCAAUCAAUCAACAAACCUCCAACUCUUUUCUACGAGUCGAGUUGUUUGGGAAUGCAGCUCAAAGCGGGUGGUAAAUCUCAUCCAAGGCUAAAUAUUGGCAAGAGACCGAUAGCGAACAAGUACCGUGAGGGAAAGAUGAAAAGCACCUUGAAAAGGGAGUUAAAAAGUGCGUGAAAUUGUUAAAAGGGAAACGAUCUGGGUCAGUGUUUGUGGUUGUGAUGUGGUAGGGUUUCGGUUCUACCAUACAUUACAUUCACAGAGUCAAUGUCAGUUAUGGUUGGUGGAUAGAUGAUUGAGAAAGGUGGGCACGAGCAAUCUUGUCUUUAUAGUCUCAAUUAAACGCAUUUGCCGUGACUGAAAGGUUGUUUUGGAGUUGGUUGAUUUCUAGUUUUGGUUUGCGAGACAACUUGUUGAUUCUCAUCCCAAUCCCAUAAUGACGCCAACCACACAACAUCCGCUUUUGACGAAAUGGCCUCGAACGACC